UGGGGCAGGGGGGCAGGAGGGGCUCAGGGAGAAAGCAUCUACAGCCCCUGGCCCUCUCUGCCCUUCCGUCCCCUGUCCCCAAAU
Molecule: non-coding RNA, 84 nt
Organism: Rattus norvegicus (Norway rat)
Lineage: Eukaryota; Metazoa; Chordata; Mammalia; Rodentia; Muridae
Gene: Mir328
Product: microRNA 328
Exons: 1
Source: RefSeq, marked provisional